UUCUUCGGAGAGUUUGAUCCUGGCUCAGGAUGAACGCUGGCGGCGUGCCUAAUACAUGCAAGUCGAGCGAACUGAUUAGAAGCUUGCUUCUAUGACGUUAGCGGCGGACGGGUGAGUAACACGUGGGCAACCUGCCUGUAAGACUGGGAUAACUUCGGGAAACCGAAGCUAAUACCGGAUAGGAUCUUCUCCUUCAUGGGAGAUGAUUGAAAGAUGGUUUCGGCUAUCACUUACAGAUGGGCCCGCGGUGCA
RNAcentral lists this ribosomal RNA (252 nucleotides) under Priestia megaterium. Its description in RNAcentral is "Bacillus megaterium partial 16S ribosomal RNA". It matches the Rfam family "Bacterial small subunit ribosomal RNA", at positions 1 to 240 of the family's 1533-position model. The record is from RNAcentral. Lineage: Bacteria; Bacillati; Bacillota; Bacilli; Caryophanales; Bacillaceae.